GGUUCACACUGUUGCCCAGGCUGGAGUGUAGAAACCUUCCAAGAACUAGUCAACUUUGAUGGGCAAAGUCUGCUGACUCCAAAGGGCUAUAUGGCAUGAGUGAUAGCAGAGUUCACUGGCUUCCAGUCACCAUGGUCAGGCAUCAUCGUUGAACCAGUGUUUCCAGAUAAAAUUAAAACAUGCUACAACAGGAACUAAUCAGGGAGAUGACAGUCCCACGAAGGAAUAAGGUCAGUCCUGGAUUUGCCAUUUUAUGGCCCCAAGUUGCUCAGGGGCUUGCCCCAUACAGACCAGAUUGAAACAGAUUCAAGUUCAUACUUAAAAUAGCAUCACUCUUGAAAAGCAAUAUGCUUUCUUGAAGAACUACAAUGGGACCCCUAAAUUGCAUAGACCUGGGCUUGCCACAUGACUGACUGUGUCACUAAGCAGGUGAGUGUCCUCCUUUGUGUGCUGUCCAGAGGGCCCUCUUUCUCUCCUCUGUCCCUAGCCCUAGAGAAUGGCCUUCACAUUCUGCCUUAAUUGAUCCAGGGUGGGACCCAGGCAUCAGUAUUGUGUUAAAACUCUUUAGGGGAUUCUAAAGCACAAUCAAGGUUGAGAACCCCUUGUCUAUACCAUGCCCUGUUGUUAACUUGGAUUUUUCCUUUUGGAAAAAAAUAGAAAAUCCUCAUGGCCAUCCAGUUUCAAAGUCCUAACCACCUAGAAUAUCUGUACUAAUCCCUAGCGAAUAUCCAAGCAGCCUCCACAAUAUCUAUUACCUCACUCCACCUGCUGUACGUGCACACAAGAGCCGGAAUGUGGAGUGAGGGCAUUUACACAGACAUGAGUCUGUGAAAAAGUUCACUUGUCAGGAGGGUCUCUGGGCUCAUUGUGGACCCACUCCCAGCAGAGAGGUUGUAUGCACAGAAAGGGUAUUCCUGUCCCCACAGGAGCAGGCUAUGUAGAGUGACUGUACCCUGGGUAAGCUUGGAAACUCUUCUGGAACCUUCUAUUCCAUGCUAGAAUAGAGGGUCCAGGGAGGCUGUACUGCCUUCUGGAUGGAAUACUCUACAGUUACUUUUCUUUUCUUUUCUUUUUUCUUUAUUUUGUUUGUUUGCUUUUU
Molecule: long non-coding RNA, 1099 nt
Organism: Pongo pygmaeus (Bornean orangutan)
Lineage: Eukaryota; Metazoa; Chordata; Mammalia; Primates; Hominidae
Exons: 4
Source: RefSeq, a predicted model, not a curated record